GUAGGUGGGCAAGCGUUGUCCGGAAUUAUUGGGCGUAAAGCGCGCGCAGGUGGGUUCUUUAAGUCUGAUGUGAAAGCCCCCGGGCUCAACCGGGGAGGGUCAUUGGAAACUGGGGAACUUGAGUGCAGGAGAGGAAAGUGGAAUUCCACGUGUAGCGGUGAAAUGCGUAGAUAUGUGGAGGAACACCAGUGGCGAAGGCGACUUUCUGGCCUGUAACUGACACUGAGGCGCGAAAGCGUGGGGAGCAAACAGGAUUAGAUACCCUGGUAGUCCACGCCGUAAACGAUGAGUGCUAAGUGUUGGGGGGUUUCCGCCCCUCAGUGCUGCAGCUAACGCAUUAAGCACUCCGCCUGGGGAGUACGGUCGCAAGACUG
This 374-nucleotide ribosomal RNA is filed under the name uncultured organism. RNAcentral describes it as "partial 16S ribosomal RNA". It matches the Rfam family "Bacterial small subunit ribosomal RNA", at positions 526 to 896 of the family's 1533-position model. The record is from RNAcentral.